This 460-nucleotide ribosomal RNA is filed under the name uncultured Bacteroidota bacterium. Its description in RNAcentral is "bacterial SSU rRNA". It matches the Rfam family "Bacterial small subunit ribosomal RNA", at positions 338 to 795 of the family's 1533-position model. Lineage: Bacteria; Pseudomonadati; Bacteroidota. The record is from RNAcentral.
CCUACGGGGGGCAGCAGUGAGGAAUAUUGCGCAAUGGAGGCAACUCUGACGCAGCCAUGCCGCGUGCAGGAAGAAGGCGCUACGCGUUGUAAACUGCUUUUAUCCGGGAAGAAACCCCUCGACGUGUCGAGGGUUGACGGUACCGGAGGAAUAAGCACCGGCUAACUUCGUGCCAGCAGCCGCGGUAAUACGAAGGGUGCAAGCGUUAUCCGGAUUCAUUGGGUUUAAAGGGUGCGUAGGCGGAGCGUUAAGUCAGUGGUGAAAUCCUGCAGCUCAACUGUAGACUUGCCAUUGAUACUGGCGCUCUUGAGUGCGCUUGAAGUAGGCGGAAUGUGCCGUGUAGCGGUGAAAUGCUUAGAUAUGGCACAGAACACCAAUUGCGAAGGCAGCUUACUAAGGCGAUACUGACGCUGAGGCACGAAAGCGUGGGGAUCGAACAGGAUUAGAUACCCCUGUAGUC